This 355-nucleotide unclassified non-coding RNA is filed under the name soil metagenome. RNAcentral's name for it is "partial contains 5.8S ribosomal RNA, internal transcribed spacer 2, and large subunit ribosomal RNA". The stretch from base 1 to 121 matches the Rfam family "5.8S ribosomal RNA", at positions 35 to 154 of the family's 154-position model. The record is from RNAcentral.
GAUGAAGAACGCAGCGAAAUGCGAUAAGUAAUGCGAAUUGCAGAAUUUCCGUGAGUCAUCGAAUCUUUGAACGCACAUUGCGCCCGUCAGUAUUCUGGCGGGCAUGCCUGUUCGAGCGUCAUUACGCCCCUCAAGUCCCCUGUGGACUUGGUGUUGGGGAUCGGCGAGGCUGGUUUUCCAGCACAGCCGUCCCUUAAAUUAAUUGGCGGUCUCGCCGUGGCCCUCCUCUGCGCAGUAGUAAAACACUCGCAACAGGAGCCCGGCGCGGUCAUGCCGUAAAACACCCAACUUCUCAGGUUGACCUCAGAUCAGGUAGGAAUACCCGCUGAACUUAAGCAUAUCAAUAAGCGGAGGA